Long non-coding RNA from Bufo bufo (common toad), 160 nucleotides. RefSeq lists it as uncharacterized. The record is from RefSeq and is a predicted model, not a curated record. The transcript is spliced from 3 exons. NCBI's taxonomy places the organism in Eukaryota, Metazoa, Chordata, Amphibia, Anura, Bufonidae.
GAUAUCACCAUUUGUGUGGAGAGGGUUAAUGGGCAGGAAAAUAAAUAUUGCUAUAAAACAAGCCCUUAUAGAUGUGGUGUUCCAGAAUUCAAUUGGUUUUACUUGGGCUUAAGCAUGGUAUACCGUGGAUUCCUGCUGAGAGCAGGAGCGCACGGCGUCA